Molecule: long non-coding RNA, 1135 nt
Organism: Hippocampus comes (tiger tail seahorse)
Lineage: Eukaryota; Metazoa; Chordata; Actinopteri; Syngnathiformes; Syngnathidae
Exons: 2
Source: RefSeq, a predicted model, not a curated record
CCUUGAUGCUUACUAACUCACUUUGGGGAAAUCGAAUUUUAAGUCUAAUUUCACCCGGGAAAUGUCUUCUUGCUCCUAUUUAUUUUCUUAACCCUCUCAUAAUGAAGACGGAGGUAAAUAGACAUUUGAUCAAGUCAGAACAACCUUCUCCUCCCCAUCCAGGUUCCACCUCCUUGCACCGGUGCCGCCCGCCAACGGAAGCCGGCUCGGGCGACCCGUCAGCCGGCAUGUCCUGCGUCGUAUCCUGCCGGACUGGUGGUGGUCCACGAACUGUGUGCGUACCAAUUUAGUCACUCAUCACACGAUGCCAAAUCGCCAGGUGGGGUCUUUUUAUAUGAAGCUUCUCCGCCUGCAGAUACCCGAUCCGAGCGCCGAUCCAGCCCGUGAGCGGCAGCCGGCCCAGGGGACUCCGCAAGCGGCCCGUCUUGGCUCAAGAGUCCCGCAGGAGUGUUACGGCGGCGGCUCGUUCAAGCCGAAACUCUUUGUUAAUUUUCAUGCGUUCUAACGAACGUAAACUCAAAUGGGGAUUUUCUCACGCUCACUUUGCCUCAAGUUAUUACUGUGUACAUCUCAAGUGUGCGCGGCCAAGCCGUGGUCCACCAGCCGGCCCAGGAGCCUCGUAACGCAAGUCCAAGGCCACGUUUUGAGGUGCACUCCCUUCUUGCCAAACGUUGAAAACCAUAAGCCAUAAAUAAUAGUGACCGACAUCGAUCUUUUAUUACGUUCGAAUUGCCUCAACCUUCCCCAUCCCGAACACUCGGAAGCUCCUCCGACGGCCUCGCUCAGCUCUGCAUCUCGACACUUAUGGACUGACGGUGGCCCGCUACCAAGUAGUUCCACCUCCGGCCCCGCCCGCCGGCCGAAGCCGACUCAGGAGGCUCCUGACGCGGCCUUGUUCUGCUCAGCAUCCCGCCGGAGAGGUGGAGGCGGUGGUCCGCUCUCCGGCAAUACCCCGAGGCGCACUCAGGGGGCGCCAACGUAUAAUGCUCCCGGCUGUGUGAGGCGAGUCAACCCCCCCCCCCAUUUCCUUUCUUUUUUUUUUAAUACCUUGAUGUCAAGUGCAUGAUUCAUAAGCACUUUUAAAGGCAGGAAUAUGAUGACAAAUUGAUGAUGGUAUUAAAGUGUAAUCACACAC